UGGGGAAUAUUGCGCAAUGGGCGAAAGCCUGACGCAGCAACGCCGCGUGAGUGAUGAAGGCCUUCGGGUCGUAAAGCUCUGUCGGAGGGAACGAAUGCUCCUGAAGUUAACAGCCUCAGGAGGUGACGGUACCCCCAAAGGAAGCACCGGCUAACUCUGUGCCAGCAGCCGCGGUAAUACAGAGGGUGCAAGCGUUGUUCGGAAUCAUUGGGCGUAAAGGGCGCGUAGGCGGCAAUUCAAGUCAUCUGUGAAAUCUCCGGGCUUAACUCGGAACGGUCAGAUGAUACUGCUUUGCUAGAGUGCAGAAGGGGCAAUCGGAAUUCUUGGUGUAGCGGUGAAAUGCGUAGAUAUCAAGAGGAACACCUGAGGUGAAGACGGGUUGCUGGGCUGACACUGACGCUGAGGCGCGAAAGCCAGGGGAGCAAACGGGAUUAGAUACCCUAGUAGUCCCUGAGCGGGCUGGCAAGGCGCAU
Molecule: ribosomal RNA, 473 nt
Filed under: uncultured bacterium
Lineage: Bacteria
Description: bacterial SSU rRNA
Rfam family: Bacterial small subunit ribosomal RNA
Source: RNAcentral